UAGCGGAGGAAAAGAAACCAACCGGGAUUGCCUUAGUAACGGCGAGUGAAGCGGCAAAAGCUCAAAUUUGAAAUCUGGUACCUUCGGUGCCCGAGUUGUAAUUUGGAGAGGGCAACUUUGGGGCCGUUCCUUGUCUAUGUUCCUUGGAACAGGACGUCAUAGAGGGUGAGAAUCCCGUGUGGCGAGGAGUGCGGUUCUUUGUAAAGUGCCCUCGAAGAGUCGAGUUGUUUGGGAAUGCAGCUCUAAGUGGGUGGUAAAUUCCAUCUAAAGCUAAAUAUUGGCGAGAGACCGAUAGCGAACAAGUACAGUGAUGGAAAGAUGAAAAGAACUUUGAAAAGAGAGUGAAAAAGUACGUGAAAUUGUUGAAAGGGAAGGGCAUUUGAUCAGACAUGGUGUUUUGUGCCCUCUGCUCCUUGUGGGUAGGGGAAUCUCGCAUUUCACUGGGCCAGCAUCAGUUUUGGUGGCAGGAUAAAUCCAUAGGAAUGUAGCUUGCCUCGGUAAGUAUUAUAGCCUGUUGGGAAUACUGCCAGCUGGGACUGAGGACUGCGACGUAAGUCAAGGAUG
RNAcentral lists this ribosomal RNA (564 nucleotides) under Saccharomyces cerevisiae (brewer's yeast). RNAcentral describes it as "partial large subunit ribosomal RNA". It matches the Rfam family "Eukaryotic large subunit ribosomal RNA", at positions 48 to 625 of the family's 3401-position model. The record is from RNAcentral. Lineage: Eukaryota; Fungi; Ascomycota; Saccharomycetes; Saccharomycetales; Saccharomycetaceae.